GUGGGGAAUAUUGGACAAUGGGCGCAAGCCUGUUCCAGCCAUGCCGCGUGAGUGAUGAAGGCCUUAGGGUUGUAAAGCUCUUUCAGUGGGGACGAUAAUGACGGUACCCACAGAAGAAGCCCCGGCUAACUUCGUGCCAGCAGCCGCGGUAAUACGAAGGGGGCUAGCGUUGUUCGGAUUUACUGGGCGUAAAGCGCACGUAGGCGGAUCGUUAAGUCGGGGGUGAAAUCCUGGAGCUCAACUCCAGAACUGCCUUCGAUACUGGCGAUCUUGAGUCCGGAAGAGGUGAGUGGAACUCCUGGUGUAGAGGUGAAAUUCGUAGAUAUUAGGAAGAACACCAGUGGCGAAGGCGGCUCACUGGUCCGGUACUGACGCUGAGGUGCGAAAGCGUGGGGAGCAAACAGGAUUAGAUACCCGUGUAGUCC
Molecule: ribosomal RNA, 425 nt
Filed under: uncultured bacterium
Lineage: Bacteria
Description: partial 16S ribosomal RNA
Rfam family: Bacterial small subunit ribosomal RNA
Source: RNAcentral